AGUCACACCACAUCACUCUCAUCUUCUUCGUGUCUUUUAUUGAAUUAGCCACGAAAGAUUUCAAGUUCAAUCUGUUUCAAAGUCUUCAACUUUUAAUUGGAGAUGAGUAAUUUUCCUGAAGGAGGAAAAAGGAUUCAUUCAAACAAGUUGUUUAGGGGUAAAUCCCAAAACUUCCUUUCUCUCUCACGAAUUGCUUAACUGAUUUAUUGGUUUUGAGUUGAACUCGGUCCGGUGACCGUCUUGUGGUCUUCCGUCGGCGAGCUACUGUGGUGCGUUUGCACCGUCGCUAUUGGUGGCUCGAAUCACCACCUUUGUGCAGCAUUUUCUCUCUUAUCUGCUUUUCCGGUGCUGUUGUCGUGGUUUGUUGUUCUGCUGUUGGUGCUCCGACACUGCCACUGUUGCUGUAUGUUGUUAUUGUUGUUGAGUUCUGCCAAUUCCGAUCUCUUAGCAAGUUAUUGUUUUGAGGUCGUUGGUGGAAUAUGGCUAUAGAGAUAAUUUGCGGAGUUGAGCUAUAGUUGGUGAUGAAAUGUCGAAAUAUUGGAGGUUUGUUAAUAGAGAAUUGGGUUGCAGAUGAGGUAACAUUUAUGUUCAGCAAAAAUGUAUUUAUAUACCGUAUGUGUUAUAUUAUAUUUUUGAUAUUAUAUAUCGUUUAUAGUCAUGGCCAUGGUUAUAGAUGCAUCUCUAUGAGUUAGUUGUGAAUUGCUAUUGGAUUGUUAUAAAAGUAUCCCUUUGUUCAGCUCUUGGAAUUGUUCGGAAAUAACUAUGUUCUUAUAGUAUGAUUUGGGUCGAUAAUUAGGAAAUGAUUUUGAAAUUGUUUUAGCUGGCUUAGUUUAUGAACCGAGAUGAAUAGUGAGGAAGGUACAAGUGGAGGGGAAAUUAUUCAUAUAUGAGUGAAGACUAGAAAAGGUCGAAUAUUAUGUUAUGUUAUGUUAGAAGCUUGUACUUGCCAACGAUUUCUGUUACGUGAUUAAGCUAUGCUAGCGAUAUAUUUAAAAGAUGAAUUAUUUUCUGAACAAUAACCAAGUUUGUUUCUUAUAUGAAAAAUGUUUGCGAACCAAAAUCGUUUUGACGGGCUGAAGUAAACUUAUUGAGCUUUUCGCUCAUUUUCGUUUUGUUUGUUUUGUAUUUCUCUUCUAUAAUUGCAGGUUCUUGAAUCGGAAGCUCAGAGUGGAUCAAAGCGAGAAUUUUGAUCGUUGAGUAGUAAAUAGAUUAAUGAUUCGGAAUUUUUAAUUAGAAGUAUUGAAGUUCUUUAUUAAUAAAAUAUUAUAUUAUUUUAGGAAUCGAGUAAGAUAUUAAUAAUAUGUUAUUGAUU
Long non-coding RNA from Beta vulgaris subsp. vulgaris (sugar beet), 1312 nucleotides. RefSeq lists it as uncharacterized. The record is from RefSeq and is a predicted model, not a curated record. The transcript is spliced from 2 exons. NCBI's taxonomy places the organism in Eukaryota, Viridiplantae, Streptophyta, Magnoliopsida, Caryophyllales, Amaranthaceae.